GGGUUGUGAGGUUAAGCGACUAAGCGUACACGGUGGAUGCCCUGGCAGUCAGAGGCGAUGAAGGACGUGCUAAUCUGCGAUAAGCGCCGGUAAGGUGAUAUGAACCGUUAUAACCGGCGAUUUCCGAAUGGGGAAACCCAGUGUGACUCGUCACACUAUCAUUAACUGAAUCCAUAGGUUAAUGAGGCGAACCGGGGGAACUGAAACAUCUAAGUACCCCGAGGAAAAGAAAUCAACCGAGAUUCCCCCAGUAGCGGCGAGCGAACGGGGAGGAGCCCAGAGCCUGAAUCAGCAUGUGUGUUAGUGGAAGCGUCUGGAAAGGCGCGCGAUACAGGGUGACAGCCCCGUACACAAAAGCGCAUGUGCUGUGAGCUCGAUGAGUAGGGCGGGACACGUGGUAUCCUGUCUGAAUAUGGGGGGACCAUCCUCCAAGGCUAAAUACUCCUGACUGACCGAUAGUGAACCAGUACCGUGAGGGAAAGGCGAAAAGAACCCCGGCGAGGGGAGUGAAAAAGAACCUGAAACCGUGUACGUACAAGCAGUGGGAGCCCCACCACCAAAGCAUUCUCUGGUGUUGAAGGCCCUGCAAAGCAGCAUCGCGGUGGCGGAGCGUCGUUUGCGACGCCCAACACACAAAACAAGCGGUGAGUGCUUUGGGGUGGGGUGACUGCGUACCUUUUGUAUAAUGGGUCAGCGACUUAUAUUCUGUAGCAAGGUUAACCGAAUAGGGGAGCCGGAGGGAAACCGAGUCUUAAUUGGGCGUUAAGUUGCAGGGUAUAGACCCGAAACCCGGUGAUCUAGCCAUGGGCAGGUUGAAGGUUGGGUAACACUAACUGGAGGACCGAACCGACUAAUGUUGAAAAAUUAGCGGAUGACCUGUGGCUGGGGGUGAAAGGCCAAUCAAACCGGGAGAUAGCUGGUUCUCCCCGAAAGCUAUUUAGGUAGCGCCUCGUGAAUUCAUCUCCGGGGGUAGAGCACUGUUUCGGCUAGGGGGCCAUCCCGGCUUACCAACCCGAUGCAAACUGCGAAUACCGGAGAAUGUUAUCACGGGAGACACACGGCGGGUGCUAACGUCCGUCGUGAAGAGGGAAACAACCCAGACCGCCAGCUAAGGUCCCAAAGUCAUGGUUAAGUGGGAAACGAUGUGGGAAGGCCCAGACAGCCAGGAUGUUGGCUUAGAAGCAGCCAUCAUUUAAAGAAAGCGUAAUAGCUCACUGGUCGAGUCGGCCUGCGCGGAAGAUGUAACGGGGCUAAACCAUGCACCGAAGCUGCGGCAGCGA
RNAcentral lists this ribosomal RNA (1280 nucleotides) under Salmonella enterica subsp. enterica serovar Infantis. RNAcentral describes it as "bacterial LSU rRNA". It matches the Rfam family "Bacterial large subunit ribosomal RNA", at positions 1 to 1211 of the family's 2925-position model. The record is from RNAcentral. Lineage: Bacteria; Pseudomonadati; Pseudomonadota; Gammaproteobacteria; Enterobacterales; Enterobacteriaceae. RNAcentral also lists the same sequence under 1 other name.